Molecule: ribosomal RNA, 444 nt
Filed under: uncultured bacterium
Lineage: Bacteria
Description: partial 16S ribosomal RNA
Rfam family: Bacterial small subunit ribosomal RNA
Source: RNAcentral
CCUACGGGUGGCAGCAGUGGGGAAUAUUGGGCAAUGGGCGCAAGUCUUACCCAGCAAUGCCGCGUGAAUGAAGAAGGCCCUCGGGUUGUAAAGUUCUUUUAUUGGGGACGAAGAAAGUGACGGUACCCAAUGAAUAAGCCACGGCUAACUACGUGCCAGCAGCCGCGGUAAUACGUAGGGGGCAAGCGUUAUUCGGAAUGACUGGGCGUAAAGGGGGUGUAGGCGGGGUAGCAAGUUAGAAGUGAAAUACCUAGAGCUUAACUCAGGUGCUGCUUUUAAAACUGCUAUACUUGAGUGCAGGAGAGGAAGGUGGAAUUCCUAGUGUAGCGGUGGAAUGCGUAGAUAUUAGGAGGAACAUCAGUGGCGAAGGCGAUUUUCUGGACUGUAACUGACGCUGAGGCACGAAAGUGUGGGGAGCAAACAGGAUUAGAUACCCGGGUAGUC